ACGGGAGGCAGCAGUGGGGGAUAUUGGACAAUGGGGGAAACCCUGAUCCAGCGACGCGGCGUGAGUGAAGAAGCAUUUCGGUAUGUAAAGCUCUAUCAGCAGGGAAUAAAAAGAGUAAGCAUUGACAGUACCUGACUAAGAAGCACCGGCUAACUACGUGCCAGCAGCCGCGGUAAUACGUAGGGGGCAAGCGCUAUCCGGAUUUACUGGGUGUAAAGGGAGCGGAGGCGGUACGGCAAGUCAGAUGUGAAAGCCCGGGGCUCAACCCCGGAACUGCAUUUGAAACUGUCGAACUAGAGUAUCUGAGAGGUGAGUGGAAUCCCAAGUGUAGCGGUGAAAUGCGUAGAUACUUGGAAGAACACCGGUGGCGAAGGCGGCUCACUGGACGAUAACUGACGCUGAGGCUCGAAAGCGUGGGGAGCAAACAGGAUUAGAUACCCUGGUA
RNAcentral lists this ribosomal RNA (445 nucleotides) under uncultured Mobilitalea sp. Its description in RNAcentral is "partial 16S ribosomal RNA". It matches the Rfam family "Bacterial small subunit ribosomal RNA", at positions 341 to 792 of the family's 1533-position model. Lineage: Bacteria; Bacillati; Bacillota; Clostridia; Lachnospirales; Lachnospiraceae. The record is from RNAcentral.